GACGAACGCUGGCGGCGUGCUUAACACAUGCAAGUCGAACGGAAGGGCCCUGCUUUUGUGGGGUGCUCGAGUGGCGAACGGGUGAGUAACACGUGAGUAACCUGCCCUUGACUUUGGGAUAACUUCAGGAAACUGGGGCUAAUACCGGAUAGGAGCUCCUGCUGCAUGGUGGGGGUUGGAAAGUUUCGGCGGUUGGGGAUGGACUCGCGGUUUAUCAGCUUGUUGGUGGGGUAGUGGCUUACCAAGGCUUUGACGGGUAGCCGGCCUGAGAGGGUGACCGGCCACAUUGGGACUGAGAUACGGCCCAGACUCCUACGGGAGGCAGCAGUGGGGAAUAUUGCACAAUGGGCGGAAGCCUGAUGCAGCAACGCCGCGUGCGGGAUGACGGCCUUCGGGUUGUAAACCGCUUUCGCCUGUGACGAAGCGUGAGUGACGGUAAUGGGUAAAGAAGCACCGGCUAACUACGUG
RNAcentral lists this ribosomal RNA (468 nucleotides) under uncultured bacterium. Its description in RNAcentral is "partial 16S ribosomal RNA". It matches the Rfam family "Bacterial small subunit ribosomal RNA", at positions 28 to 507 of the family's 1533-position model. The record is from RNAcentral.